Molecule: long non-coding RNA, 261 nt
Filed under: Lathyrus oleraceus (garden pea)
Lineage: Eukaryota; Viridiplantae; Streptophyta; Magnoliopsida; Fabales; Fabaceae
Description: Pisum sativum (pea) long non-coding RNA (PSAT_LNC032787)
Source: RNAcentral
GGGGCUGAUUCUGGAAAGAGAGUUGUUGUGAGGGUCGACACUACAGCUAAAGAACGGAUCAGGGAGUAUGUCCGUCGACCAAGUGAAAAAUGUUUUGAUGAGGUUACUGAUGACUUUAAUUCAGAAUCAAAAGCAAGUUUAGAUAUCUUAGUCAACAUGGUGUCAAUUCUACCAGAAGAAUACAAUUGAGUUACUGAGGUGAAGGAUUCGGUAGAUGAUGCCGAUGCUGAAGAAAUGGCGUUACAUAAGCCAAGAUGUUAC